Molecule: transfer RNA, 72 nt
Filed under: Ornithorhynchus anatinus (platypus)
Lineage: Eukaryota; Metazoa; Chordata; Mammalia; Monotremata; Ornithorhynchidae
Rfam family: tRNA
About the family: Transfer RNA (tRNA) molecules are approximately 80 nucleotides in length. Their secondary structure includes four short double-helical elements and three loops (D, anti-codon, and T loops). Further hydrogen bonds mediate the characteristic L-shaped molecular structure. tRNAs have two regions of fundamental functional importance: the anti-codon, which is responsible for specific mRNA codon recognition, and the 3' end, to which the tRNAs corresponding amino acid is attached (by aminoacyl-tRNA synthetases). tRNAs cope with the degeneracy of the genetic code in two manners: having more than one tRNA (with a specific anti-codon) for a particular amino acid; and 'wobble' base-pairing, i.e. permitting non-standard base-pairing at the 3rd anti-codon position.
Source: Rfam by way of RNAcentral
AGCAGUGUGGCUCAGUGGAAAGAGCACGGGCUUGGGAGUCAGAGGUCAUGGGUUCAAAUCCCUGCUCAGCCA